UCUGGUGACAAUAGCGAAGAGGUCACACCUGUUCCCAUGCCGAACACAGUAGUUAAGCUCUUCAGCGCCGAUGGUAGUUGGGGCCUUGCCCCUGUGAGAGUAGGACGUCGCUAGGC
RNAcentral lists this ribosomal RNA (116 nucleotides) under Paraliobacillus sp. PM-2. Lineage: Bacteria; Bacillati; Bacillota; Bacilli; Caryophanales; Bacillaceae. The record is from RNAcentral.